Molecule: long non-coding RNA, 289 nt
Filed under: Homo sapiens (human)
Lineage: Eukaryota; Metazoa; Chordata; Mammalia; Primates; Hominidae
Description: non-protein coding lnc-ARRDC3-7:1
Source: RNAcentral
AUAAGCAAUAUACAAUACUGUCUGGAACAUUUUAAAACUUUAUAUAUAGCCUUUCCCAUGUUCAUUUUUUCACUCAACAUAACGUUGAGAUUUAGCCACAGGUUGACACAUAUAACUAUGGUUCAUUCAUAUUUUCCAUCACAUAAAAUUUACUUAAUCAUUCCCCUGUUUAACAAUUAGAUAUUUUUCCAUAGUUGUAUUAUGAACAAUGCUGCCAUCACUGUCUUGUCCCAAUCUUCUUGUAUGCACAUGCAACACUUUCUCUAAAUUCCACAUCAUCGCCCUGUAC